Long non-coding RNA from Lolium perenne, 1909 nucleotides. RefSeq lists it as uncharacterized. NCBI's taxonomy places the organism in Eukaryota, Viridiplantae, Streptophyta, Magnoliopsida, Poales, Poaceae. The record is from RefSeq and is a predicted model, not a curated record.
GCACUCUGAAAAUGCCAUUUUUGUCGCUCUAACCGAUGACAGCCUUUUAUAUGCUCACCCAGAUUCAAGAAUUGAUGAAGUAGGCAUCGUGAUGUCAGUUCGCAAGAAACAUCUUUUCAGAUCCGAUUACACCGUUUGCUUUCUUCGCUAUGUCGAAAAGCAAUGAAGAAAUGUUUUGGCGAGGAUGCCAAACAAGAGGAAUGUUCAGCUGUGCAGUCCAAUGAGUUCUUCUCUCAGGCUUGAACAGGGCUUGGAGUCAGAUCUGUUUCUGCUUCAGUGUUGUGCUGCAUUAUCUUCGCCAGAGUUCUUUGUGAGGACCAUUCAAGAGAGAUUUGGUUUAUCAAAUUAUACAUCUUUGGAACUCGCAGAACAGAAUGAAUGAUACCGCCAAUGACAUGGAGUGCGGCCACCAUGAACGAGGAAUAAGAGGAUCUGAUUCGGAGGGUGAAGAGUACGACCAUUUGGUAUGUCCAACCAAUUACUUUGUAUUUUCACGCCAUUAUUUUCCAUUGAUUACCAGAAUUAGAAGUGUAUACGCUUGAAUGCUACUGAUAUAAUUUGGUGUCUGUUACUUAACAUGCAUGCUGCCUGUCGUAUAUGAGAUACUAUCAUGGAGCAGGUAUCAAUCAGUUUUGUGACCAUAUGAAUGACUUGCUUGGUGUAAUUAAUUUUCCAUUCUUUUAUUUAGAGAUAUAUGAACAAAACGACAACAAUCUCGUGCUUGGAAGCCUGAUACAGUUUUUCUUGUUUGGAGGAUUGUCUAGAUCCUAUGAAGUUUUGCCCCCUCACAAGUCGUACAAUGGCAUCUCUCUUGGACCGUUAAUUGUCGUGCUCCUUUUGUUUUCUGGACAGCUAUCUGUUGCAAGAUUAGGUCUUGCUUCUCAUAAUGUACUUGCCAUGCUAUAUAAAAUGCUUUGAUUUUGUCUUCCAUUUCUAAACCACGUUGAGUUUGUUUUAGUUACAGACACAGGAUAAUUAGGAAAUUAUUUCUCUUGCUCGUUUGUUAAGUUUAUAGACCAAUCUUGAACUUUAGUGAUAAGAGUUCCCAUUAAUGUGACUAUGUUUAUAUUGUUUCCAAUCUACCCCUUUUAAACAUGUGAAACAAAAGCCUCAAUCCUCUAAAUGGUUGGUGCCCCUUCUCUAUUUAGAAUAAUAGGAUCCCAGACACUUGGCAGGAGAUACAAGAAAAGGAAAAGACAUUCAAGGAAUACCAUGAGAAAGGUUAGCUAUCACUUCUGGAAAAAAUACAGGAAGACUAAUCGAGAGAUCGAGAUUUAUCUAUAGAAUGAAUAAUUAUGUUCACCUGAUGGAGUGAUGAACUGAUGGGUCUGAUUGAGAUUUAUCUAUAUUAUUAGAGAUAUUCUAAAUCAUUAGUAGAUGUCAAUUUUAUUUAAACAAGCCUUCUUUGCUUACGCAAGUUUUUUUACAAAGCAGCUGAAUGUUGGUGGUUCCAGUGGGCAAUUGAUUAUCCCAUUUCUGCAGUUACCUCCAUAACAAAAAGUUCAGCAAAGAAUAUUUUUGGAAUGACUCGAUUGAGCAGAUGGUACACUGCUGAUUUUUCUAUAAUGGAUAACAUGAUAAUGAUGUAUAGGUCAACCAACUUAAGCUAUAGUGGAGAUUUACGAGAUUCCAAUAUUUUUUAGCUCCAGUUUGGAAGCUUAUAUUGCAAAUGGAGAAAAUAUACUAUAUAUUUCCAUUUCUAUCUGUCAAAUGUAUUUCCAUUUAUAUAUAUCAAAUGUUGCUUUGAAUAUUAGGCUCUUUCCUUGAGGUGAGACAUUCAGCAAAUGUAGACAAUUUACUAGAUAUUUCUAUACCUAUGAUCCAAAUGUUACUUUGCACUAUGUUGGAUUGUGUGAAACUUAGGCUGUUUUCUUGAAGCGAUACAUUUAGCAGAUGGGAUUGAACUUUU